CCUACGGGAGGCAGCAGUGAGGAAUCUUGGUCAAUGGCCGGGAGGCUGAACCAGCCAAGUCGCGUGAGGGAAGACGGCCCUACAGGUUGUAAACCUCUUUUGUCAGGGAGCAAGGUGCAGGUCGGGACCUGCUGUGAGAGUACCUGAAGAAAAAGCAUCGGCUAACUCCGUGCCAGCAGCCGCGGUAAUACGGAGGAUGCGAGCGUUAUCCGGAUUUAUUGGGUUAAAAGGGGGCGCAGGCGGAGGCACAAGUCAGCGGUAAAAGCGCGGGGCUCAACCCCGCCCCGCCGUUGAAACUGUGUGCCUAGAGUGCGCGAAGGGUAGGCGGAAUGCGUGGUGUAGCGGUGAAAUGCAUAGAUAUCACGCAGAACUCCGAUCGCGAAGGCGGGCUACCGGCGCGCAACUGACGCUCAUGCACGAAGGCGUGGGUAUCGAACAGGAUUAGAUACCCGGGUAGUC
RNAcentral lists this ribosomal RNA (459 nucleotides) under uncultured bacterium. RNAcentral describes it as "partial 16S ribosomal RNA". It matches the Rfam family "Bacterial small subunit ribosomal RNA", at positions 338 to 795 of the family's 1533-position model. The record is from RNAcentral.